This 254-nucleotide ribosomal RNA is filed under the name uncultured bacterium. RNAcentral describes it as "partial small subunit ribosomal RNA". It matches the Rfam family "Bacterial small subunit ribosomal RNA", at positions 26 to 285 of the family's 1533-position model. The record is from RNAcentral.
AGGACGAACGCUGGCGGCGUGCUUAACACAUGCAAGUCGAGCGGAAAGGCCCUUCGGGGUACUCGAGCGGCGAACGGGUGAGUAACACGCGAGCAACCUGCCCUUAGCUUCGGGAUAGCUCCGGGAAACCGGAAUUAAUACCGAAUAUGACUGCGGCUGACAUCAGCCACGGUGGAAAGUUUUUCGGCUAGGGAUGGACUCGCGGCCUAUCAGCUAGUUGGUGAGGUAACGGCCCACCAAGGCGACGACGGGUA